AUACGGAGGGUGCAAGCGUUAAUCGGAAUUACUGGGCGUAAAGCGUACGUAGGCGGUUCGUUAAGUUAGAUGUGAAAGCCCCGGGCUUAACCUGGGAACUGCAUUUAAAACGGGCGAACUAGAGUUGAGUAGAGGGGAGUGGAAUUUCAGGUGUAGCGGUGAAAUGCGUAGAGAUCUGAAGGAACACCAGUGGCGAAGGCGACUCCCUGGACUCGAACUGACGCUGAGGUACGAAAGCGUGGGUAGCAAACGGGAUUAGAUACCCGAGUAGUCC
RNAcentral lists this ribosomal RNA (274 nucleotides) under uncultured bacterium. RNAcentral's name for it is "partial 16S ribosomal RNA". It matches the Rfam family "Bacterial small subunit ribosomal RNA", at positions 523 to 796 of the family's 1533-position model. The record is from RNAcentral.